CGUAGGAGCAAGCGUUGUCCGGAUUUACUGGGUGUAAAGGGUGCGUAGGCGGCUUUGCAAGUCAGAUGUGAAAUCUAUGGGCUCAACCCAUAAACUGCAUUUGAAACUGUAGAGCUUGAGUGAAGUAGAGGCAGGCGGAAUUCCCCGUGUAGCGGUGAAAUGCGUAGAGAUGGGGAGGAACACCAGUGGCGAAGGCGGCCUGCUGGGCUUUAACUGACGCUGAAGGCACGAAAGCGUGGGUAGCAAACAGGAUU
RNAcentral lists this ribosomal RNA (254 nucleotides) under uncultured bacterium. RNAcentral's name for it is "partial 16S ribosomal RNA". It matches the Rfam family "Bacterial small subunit ribosomal RNA", at positions 526 to 779 of the family's 1533-position model. The record is from RNAcentral.